GUUGAAACUCUCCAUUUUAACACUUUUUUUUUUUCAAUUUUUUUUUCUAAAAAAAUCUAAUAAUUUGUAAGUGUGUGAUUUCUUCAGUUUCAUAAACCAUACACACAAACUCAGAUGUGAGUCCUACCUUGUUUUCUGUGUCUGGGGAGAGAGAUAGGCCAGGGAAAGAGAAAGGAUAUUCAGAUAACGAUAAUAACUACCUACGACAAGCACAAGCAUGUUUUUACUCAACAAUGGGAAUUCACGAGAGGAAGAAGAAGAAAAGGGUAAUUCAUUAGAAAAUUAAAAGGGAGCAAAAAGGGAAAGGGACAAACUUAAAAUUGUAAAAUUUGAUUAUAGUAGAGAGAUCCAAAAUAAAACUUUAGGAUAUAGCCACCCAAAAAGGUUCCCAAUUUAACAAUCCCUUGUUCUCUAGUUCACCUUCUUUGCAUCUGCUUGGUCUUUGGAACUCUUCCAUUCCCAUUUCAGCCCCAACAUUCAAAUGAUUUCCUUCCACCUCUUUUUCAAUGUACCCACCAUUUUCUUUCUCUUUUCCAGUGGAUGCCUCAUUUCCUUCCUCUACUUGUUCUUCAAAAUCAUCCUCCUCUUCCUCCUCCUCUUCUUCUUCAUCUUCUUCUUCCAUGUCUUCCCUUUCAUCCUGAUUCACGUCAUUUUCAAUCUCAUCUUUGUCAUUCUUGGCUUCAGUGAUUGCUUCAUUUUCUUCUGCGGAGGCUGCCUCUAUAGAGUCAAAAUUUGAAGCAGAAUCUUUGACAAAACACAAUCGAAGGCGGCCAUGGCUUCUUUCAGCUUGAAAAUAAGCAUGGGUUGAUGGGGCCCUGACGGCCUUGAUUAUCAACCUCCCAUCUUCUCGAUGGGGCCUAACUCGAAGGGAUUCCGAUCCACUCAUCGUUGUCAAGGGAGGUGGAAAACUACGAGAAUUCGCUUUCCUAGCUCCCAAAAGUUGACGAGGCUUUUGUUGCUCCUUUGUUGGUGAAUUUCCUGCUUCUGACUCGAAUGAAGACAGUGAGAAAAUGCUCUUCUCGAAAGAAUCAGUGCCAGAUUCGCUACCUAAGUUCUCAGUACAUAAUUCCAGGCUCUUCUCGCUAAGUGUUGGGGGGUAACGCUUAAUUAGAGGAUGUACAUAUGUAUUCUCUUUCUCCAUUGAUUCUUUAGAACACUGAGAGGCGUUGGAUAGAGCCUGAAGGAAGCUCCACCCACCCAUAUCAGGAUUUGGGAUUGAAGAUAUAUGCUUAUCUUCAUCGUGGCGUCUGUCGCCGAGUUCCUUAGUGUUGGAGUCCAAGGAAAAAGGUUUUAAGGCUAAUCCAAGGGAUUGAGAGAAGUGGGGUUUUGGUGAAGAUAAUCUGAGCCUCAGUGUCCUUGACUCUACAAGUUGAGACUCAAGACAAGACUGCAAACCUUGGCAAACUAUAGUUGACAUUAUAACAAGUUGUAAGAUACAAAUAUGACUAGUGAAAGGCAAAAAAACAGCAAAAGGCCCCCCACAAGAGUGUAUGGACGCAGAGGAAAAACAGAGGAAAAACAGAGGAGUGAAGCUUUGAGUUUAAAAUGAAGAGGAUUUUGUUGCCUGGAGAAAAAUAGAAGGAGAAGUAUAGGAGAAGAGAUUGAACAUGAAAGAUAAGUGAGGGUUAGGGUGCGAAUUUGUAGUCUCCAAAAAGUGCUGGAGGCAUAGUGUGGAGAGAGAGGUGGAGGGGAGCUUUUACACCACUUGAAAUAUUCAAUUCUUAAUCUGCCACACACUGAAAAGGAGAAUAAAGAAAUAAAAUAUGUGGGGAACUAAAGGAGAUCCUUAUUAUAAUAUUCUUGUUUUUGACUUAAAUUAAAAAAAAAAAAAUCAUCCCACUCAAUUUCUCAUAUGGGCAGAAAUUUGGUGGUCUGUUAAGAAUGUCCUCACAUGGGC
This 1897-nucleotide unclassified non-coding RNA is filed under the name Hevea brasiliensis (rubber tree). The record is from RNAcentral. Lineage: Eukaryota; Viridiplantae; Streptophyta; Magnoliopsida; Malpighiales; Euphorbiaceae.